RNAcentral lists this ribosomal RNA (429 nucleotides) under Verrucomicrobiota bacterium. RNAcentral's name for it is "Verrucomicrobia bacterium partial 16S ribosomal RNA". It matches the Rfam family "Bacterial small subunit ribosomal RNA", at positions 355 to 776 of the family's 1533-position model. The record is from RNAcentral. Lineage: Bacteria; Pseudomonadati; Verrucomicrobiota.
UAGGGAAUCUUCGGCAAUGGGGGGAACCCUGACCGAGCAACGCCGCGUGAGUGAAGAAGGUUUUCGGAUCGUAAAGCUCUGUUGUUAAGGAAGAACGAGUGUGAGAAUGGAAAGUUCAUGCUGUGACGGUACUUAACCAGAAAGGGACGGCUAACUACGUGCCAGCAGCCGCGGUAAUACGUAGGUCCCGAGCGUUGUCCGGAUUUAUUGGGCGUAAAGCGAGCGCAGGCGGUUAGAAAAGUCUGAAGUGAAAGGCAGUGGCUCAACCAUCGUAGGCUUUGGAAACUGUUUAACUUGAGUGCAGAAGGGGAGAGUGGAAUUCCAUGUGUAGCGGUGAAAUGCGUAGAUAUAUGGAGGAACACCGGUGGCGAAAGCGGCUCUCUGGUCUGUAACUGACGCUGAGGCUCGAAAGCGUGGGGAGCGAACAGG